CGCAUAUUGCACCUUAGAGUAUUCUUUAAGGUAUACUUGUUUGAGCGUCGUUUAAAAUCAUAAAGCUUUGCUUUUUGUUAGAUUUUGGUUGAUUUUUUCAAACCAACUUCUUAAACAGAUUGGCGUUAUUUUGUUAGCCGAGACACAGUGAAAAUGUGUGCCAAGUUGAUAAAAUAUACUUGCCAGUUAAACAUAUAUCAAUUGUUCGACCUCAAAUCAAGUAAGGCUACCCGCUGAACUUAA
Molecule: unclassified non-coding RNA, 243 nt
Filed under: Ascomycota sp.
Lineage: Eukaryota; Fungi; Ascomycota
Description: partial contains 5.8S ribosomal RNA, internal transcribed spacer 2, and large subunit ribosomal RNA
Source: RNAcentral